This is a long non-coding RNA of Peromyscus californicus insignis, 14183 nucleotides long. RefSeq lists it as uncharacterized. The record is from RefSeq and is a predicted model, not a curated record. NCBI's taxonomy places the organism in Eukaryota, Metazoa, Chordata, Mammalia, Rodentia, Cricetidae. The transcript has 4 exons.
CCAGUAGAGAAAACAGAAAGAAAAAAAUAAGAACAGCAUGUAUUUGACGUAGCAAAGGACAAUCUAAUCCUCCUUUUUAAUAACCCCCAUCUAUUCUGCAUUCUUUUGGAAGAACGCAAUAGAAGAAAAAAAAAACAAGGCCUUAUUACAUUAUGACUAUGACUAGCACAAUUCAAAGUGAUCAGGGCAGAAUGCUUGCCAGGCAUUACAAACAUUUAAAACUAUGCGUUUGUGCCAAGUGAAAGAGGCUCAUUCUAUUCUUUCCCAGCCUCAUAAGAAAAUAUGCACUUGCUUAAAGGGGUCAUUCAGCUGCCAAGGAAAUAAUAACCUCAGGUUUUCAGAAUAAAUAACACUUUAGUCCGUGUUCCAAUUCACAAUAUCAAGAUCAGCUAUGUGUGCCCUGUGUCUGCAGAAGAACUCAUAGCUAGCGCUUGCACACAAGGUCUAAUUUACCGAUGUAAUAAAGCAGGAGUGGGCACUUCAAAGUCUGCUUUGCAGGUGGUAAAGACAUGAGGCAGAAGGGUGUCAGUAUUGUUCAAGGUCACACAGACCCUCCCACUCCUAGUGCACAUAGUUGUCUGCUCUAGCAGGAAUCCAAACAAUAAAAUAAAAUAGCUCUUUAGUCUGGAACCAAUCACUUGCCGGCCCUUCACAACAUAUUUCUGUUUUCUUUCUGCUGGAGUAAUUAUUUGUAUUUAUAAGGUAAUUUUAUUUCCUUAUCAAUCACGGUUCUCACACACAUUUAAGAAUUUCCUUGAAAUGAUAUUCCACUGCCAUAGAGAAAAAAAUUGAUUGUGAUAUGUUUGAAAGAAUUAGGUGCCCAAUUUAAAAAGCAAUUAUUCUCAUUGACAUCUUAUUUGGCAGGAAGCUGGGAGACAGGGCCCUGGGCUGUAGGAACACAGUCCUAGUAAAGACAGGCAAGGGAAGAGCUUCAAGCCAGGAGUCGGCUGCGAUACUAAGGCAGGUCCUACCUGUGCUGGGGAGUCCUGAGUUCCUGUCUAAGUCCCAAGCUCCUCAUUGCCUACCUGUGCUGGAAAGUCCUGAGUUCCUAAGUCCCAAGCUCCUUACUGCCUACCUGUGCUGGAAAGUCCUGAGUUCCUAAGUCCCAAGCUCCUCACUGCCUACCUGUACUGGAAAGUCCUGAGUUUCUAAGUCCCAAGCUCCUCACUACCUACCUGUGCUGGAAAGUCCUGAGUUCCUAAGUCCCAAGCUCCUCAAUGCCUACCUGUGCUGGCAAGUCCUGAGUUCCUAAGUCCCAAGCUCCUCACUGCUUACCUGUGCUGGAGAGUCCUGAGUUUAUGCAUGUUCCUGUCUGAGUCCCAAGCUCCUCAGGAUACAAGUGCCUGGGCCUUCAGAUCAGGGUGAUUAGUUCUGCUGAAUUUUCAGGAGAAAGAGUAAAUAAAGUUGUCUAUAAGGGGUGUCCAAAUUUUUUAGUGCUAAUACCAUUUUUUAAUUCAUUUUCAGGUCAUCCUGGGCUAAACCCAACCCAAAUGCAGGUCAAACCUACAGGCCAUCAGUAUGCAUAACUUUUGCAUAACAUCAAGUCCUUGAUUCCCACUGUGGUUGGCGCUUUUGUUUCCAGGCUGGGAAAACAAGCUAUUGGCUUCUCCCUACGGGAUGUCUGCUGGGUGGAUAACCCUUGAACAGUGACAGAACUGGAGAGUCUCUGUUGGAACUCCACAGGGUAGGUGACUGCUUUGUCUCCUGUGACCUUAAUGCCUUAAUCCACUGGUCCUAACGCGGUUCCACUCCUUAAUAUGGGGCGUGGAUGAAGCACUCUAAGGAGGCCCUGACAUUCUCAUCAUCGAGGUGUCUUUUAAGCCUGUGGUUUUAGGAUGACCUCUUUCAGCAUGGUACCAUCAGACUCCUGUUCAGCUGGUUGCAGCAAGCUUCAGAUGACCUCCUCUUACCCUCUUGUCACCUCAGUGACAGAAGUGCCAAAGAUAAGGCAUGCAAACCAGAAACACAAGGGUCUAGAGCCAGCAGUGAGAAGAGUGGCCAAGCAAGUGACAGGGCCAUAAACUAACUCACUCUUUCAACUUAGACUUAAGUGAACAAACCUCUUCCGUUGGGCUUGAUCAGCCACCCGAUGACUCCACCCACGGCCACUGCUGCCUCCUUCAUCCACUAGUGGGCCAGUUUCACAGGCCCACGCUCUGUCUUCAAUUUCUUAAUUCUCUCUUGAGCCUAUCUUUCCUCUAAGUGAAGUCUGCUGGGAAAACUGAAUAUGCACAUAAGCAGAAAAGUCAUGUGGAAAAAAAGAGAAAACUCUGCAUUUUUGUACCUUUAAGAGGGGAGAGAAAUACUUUCUGUUAUAUAUGCAAGCUAGGGAGACCCAUUAGGUAAGAAGUUAUUCAAGAUGGUUUUCCUUGUUAGCCUAGGCUAGCCUUCAACUCCCUAUGUAGCUGAUGAUUACCUAGAAUUUCCGAUCGACCUGCCUUUACCACCCAAGUGUUGUUAUUACAGGCAUGGGCCAUGUCACCCAGUUUUGUUCAUGGCAAUUCUCCAGUUUUUCUACAGACAUCAAUUUGCUGUCUUACAAUUUAAUCCAGCUCUGGCAGAGUUGGAGCCUUGGUGCCAACCCUACAGGGGAAGGCCAGACUUGCCAGACUGCCCCUGUUUCAGGUCCCCAACACAACAAGGUGGACUUCCCUUUUGACUUACGACUGAGGGAAGCCAGGGCAAGAACUCAAGGCAGCAACCUGAAAAAAAAAAAAAAAAAAAAAAGAACUCGAAGCAGAAGCCAUGGAGGACCACAGCUUGCUGACUUCCUUCCCCUAGCUUUUCCUGCUUGCUUUCUUACACAGCUCAGGCCCGCCUGCCUAGGGAUGGCACUGUUUACAAUGGGCUGGGCCCUUCUGCAUCAAUUAGCAAUUAAGAAAAUGCCUCACAGACAUGGCCACAGCCCAAUCUGAUGGAGGCAGUUUUUCAGUCGAGGUUCCUCUUCCCAGGUGACUGUAGGGUUGUGCCAACUUGACAGCUGAAGCUAAUUAUGACACUUACUAUCACCGGUUUAUGAUAAAGGGCACAGCUCCAAAGCAAACACACAGAGGAGAUUAUGGGGCAGAGUCAGGGAGGGUGUUUUUCAGGUGCUCGCAGAGGUUUCUAGUGCACCACCACUUAGGUUAAGCCCUCCUGGAGUUGUCUGCUAUGCUUUGGAAGUGUCCCUCAAAGGCCCAUGUGUUGAAACUCGAUCACUAACUGCUGGCACUAUUGGCAGGUGACAGACCCUAUCGCAAGUGAGGCCUAGUAGAGGAAGUGUGACCUAGGCCAACCUCUGUUUUCUCUCUUUGCUUCUUGGCUUUUGUGAGGCAAGUGUCUUUGUUCCACAAUGUGCUGCACACCAUGGCAUGCGACAGGACCAGGAGCAAUGAGCCCGACUAAGCAAAGACCGAAACCUCUGUGUCGAUAGCCCAAAGUAAACUCUCUUUUUCACUUAUCUCAGGUACUCAUUCAUGUGUAGAAAGCCAAGAUCAAUUACACACGCUAUGUCAGCAGAGCUCAGGGCAACCAGCUCCCAGGACCCAAGAUUUUCCCACUCGCAUCAACCCUGGUAGGGUCAAGAGGGGUUUGUUACACAUAAGGAAAGAUGUUCCUCUCAACUCUGCCUCCUCGGGGAAUCUCAGGGGUCUUCGAAGCUGCGUGCCAAGAACCAGGAGCUAUUUUUUGCGGCUGUUACAGCUCUAACAGUUUUCUUGUCCCCGUCAGCAGGAGGCCCAGCAUUUUCAUUUCACAGUGAACCUUACAAAUUAGAAAUCAUAUGUAACCUACAGAAAUUGUGGCUUUGGUGGGCCACAGGAGAGGUGUCCAGCCUUCCUAAACCCAAACCACAACCCUUCGACUGUACUAUGAUGGAUACCAUCCUCACUCAGUAGGUAAGCUUGCUCCAACGCCUUUUGAAACCCGGGGUCCUGUGCAAUGCUCUAACCUUACCAAGUGUCGGGGGACUCUGAGGGCAGUAUGCCUUCGUCUUUGCCUCCUCUUCUUCCACUUGUGAUCUCUCUCUGCCCUGAGCAGCAACAUUACAAGUAAAAUGAGGAGCAGAGGAAGGCAGAGGUUUGUGGCAGAGAGAGAAAGGCUGUGCAGUGAGAAACUCCGCCCUUCAGGAUUCAGGUUCCUCACGUUGGCUGUUGCCCAACGACAGUCAUAGCAAAAGUUUACUCUGCAUGAAACCCUCAGCCUGCUAAUGACACAUUCAUAUGGGUGUGGUGUGUAUUUUAAGGACUUACAGGGAGACUAAAUUUACUUUCCUCGAAUUCUCAUACUCUCUGUGUGGGAAAGCACCUGUUUUAUUUUGAUUACAUUUUUUGUCUGUUGCUAAACUCUGCCUCUGAGCCACAGAUGAGUAAGCAGCAUUUCUGGGCUACUGCCUAGGUAGCAUCUACCCAACUGGUUGUCUUUAUUUUCACCAACCAUGAUGGAAACAUGCCAUUUUUGAAAAUCCUAAUUCAAUUAUUGCCCCCUCCCCAGUCCCUCAAAUACUCUGAUCACUGCAGAUCUAGCCUUUGAAAUAAGCAAUUCUCCUGCAGGACCCAAACUACAGGCUGAUCCACUAAAAAGCCUUGGGGAUUUUGACACCUACCUGAAAUGUGUUUGUACAGUUCCCCGUGUGUGUGUGUGUGUGUGUGUGUGUGUGUGUGUGUGUGUGUAUGCCCAUUCAUGCAUUGUUCUAGAAACAAAUAUUACUCGAAUGCAAAAAAAAGAAAAAAAAAGUGCCAGGUACUAGCCAGUGCAUUCUCCAUUCCUGAAACAAUUAUAAUCUAUUCUGCCACCGGGUCGAGAGAGUCAGGGGCAAAAGGCUGUUACAACUUUCAAUGCUAAAUUGUCCUCAUGAAUGUUCCAGUUCUCAAAACGCUUAGGAAGAGACUCCCAUCUGCUGCCCUGUGGUAGCGGGGAAAGUUAGAUUAGCUUUCUCAGCCUAUUUGCCCAUCAGUAAAGUGAAGCUAUUAACACGUUGCAGGGACUGCUGUGAAAAUGUAAUGAGAUAACAUUGUAUGUGAGUCACCCUCAUCCCCAGGUCAGGGCCACCAUGGGCUUGAUACAUGGAAGUCCUUGGCCCUCCCAAGGGAGGUGCUUUCCUGAUUACCGGUCCUCACCACCUGUGUUCUCCUGUGAUGCUGUGCUCUGCAAUUCCCAGCAGUUUUAGCAGCAUGACCCUCCAGCCCAGAGAUAAGAUGCUGUGGAAUUGCCUCUGCUACUCGGAUCCGUGGUCCCAAUUUGAUAUAUUACUAAUGCAGCCAGCUGCAAUGCCAAUGUUAGCAAUUCCAUCCCCUGCACACCUCCAUUCUGUCCCACAGCUGUGAAUACAAGUGCCAUCCUCUCUGGCCUGGCUGUGAGUCUAGAGUACAAAGCAGCUGAGGAUACUGAGGUGAGCCAGCUCUGCAGUUAGGCAGCUCCUGCUGGUCCUUCUCCUGUUUGCCUACAGCCCUACAAGAGUGUUUUCAUCCUAGAUGGCAGACCCUCCGCUCCAGAGAGAAUGGCUGCCUUGCCAUGGACCAGGCCUGGCUAAAGCUAUUCUGGGAAGAUGCAGGACAUUCACUUGCCAAAUUCCACCAGGAGCUGGGAACCCACUGAGAUUUUCCCAGGAGGCAACUGGUGCCAUUCUCUCUGUGGCUCUGGGAAGGUGAUUCUAUGUUGACUCAGUUCACACACACACAAAAAAAACCUAGACACUCAAAGAGUACUCGGGCAGGACCAGCUUAAUAAAAGUAGGUGGUAGAAUGAGAUCAGAUGUGCCAUCGUCAAUUGGCAUGCCUCAGAGCAUAUGUAUAUUUCCAGUGCUGCUGCAAACCUGUCAUUACAAGUGUGGUGUUAAGCGGGAUUGGUUUAUACCACGUAUCCAAUCGCAAAUGUAUCUACAAAGCACAUUAGUGUCUCCAAGUCACUGAGAAUUAUUCUUACCCAUCACUGACCAUUUCGGAUUCCAGUCUUAACAAGUGUAGGCCUGGCCACCUCUUACGCCUGGCACAGCCUGGUACCCCUGUUUGCUUCACUUUCUCGCUGUUGCUUUACUUCACUGUUGCCUUCCUGCCAAAUAUGCGUAAGCUGGUACAUAUUCUCAAUAGCAUGCUUACAUCCUCUCUGUGUGUUUCUCUCUGUCCCUGUGUGUGUGUGUGUGUGUGUGUGUGUGUGUGUGUGUGUGUGUGUGUGUGUGUAUCUGUCUAUCUGUCUCUCUGUUUCCCCUACACACACCCCCAAUCAUACUCUACUGCUCCAGAAGACAGAGGAUCUUAUAAGUACUGCUCAUUCCUAUUCCUCCAAACUGAGCUCAUGAUUCCUUUCAAUAGAUAGUGACUCUUUGGAGUCCACAGCUUCUCUAACUAGAGGGGAACCCUCAGAACCAGGCCCAGGGCAGAUGGCACAUAUCAUCCUCAGGAGCAGUGGCCCCCACAGGCCUCACCUGAAUGGAGCCUCACACAGCAUUUCUCCCAGUGCUGCUGCAUGGUGUUGCUGAUCCAGCCUCCUGUGAAGAUGCACAGACCUCAGAGUCGGGAGCAUACAAGCGCUGGAGCUUCAUUUCAUGAUGGGACUUCCUAUCCCAUGGCUUAGGAAGGGCUAUUUCUGUUGAACAAGUGAUUAAGUAUUUCCAAAUGAAACAUUUUUGAAAACGUAAGAGUGAUGUUUUUCAUCUUGGGCCUCCUUCGCUCAGUUUCCGUGGUUCAGCAGCGCCACCCAGUGUUAAAACCAUUUCCAUGAGAAAAUUCUCCCCUUUGCCUUGUGAAAGUGAACCUGGGAGUGUCUUUGAGCAUCACAUGAGAAGAAAAUGGGCAUCCACAGAAUGGAUAACAAUACGCCUGGGCAGUUCAGAAAAGUUCUGACCUAGAAUGCCACCAAGAUCACCCAGGAAACAAAAGGACUUUCCAGUCCCACCCAAUUAAUAACAGGGGGCAAGCCAGGACUAGCCCAGUACCAAGUAGUCAGUAGCAUCCCGACAGUGAGGGCCAUAAAGACAAGAUCAUGUGGAUGACGGGUCAGUCAUGGCUGGACCAGAUCUCAGAGAUGACAUCUUUCACUUUAUACAUGAACUAAGACUAAGCAAAACUUCACAAUAUGCACAAGUCCACAGCCAAUGACUUUGUAGCUCAGAUAAAAGUGUGUACCAUUCACCUCCUGGGUCAUCAUUCUCCUCCAAAAUGUCAAAACUCAAGAUGACCUAGUGUGACAGUCCAUAAAGAAGUAUAUGGGGAAAGGACAUCAUCAAUGGAGGAAACUCAAGGCCAGAGCUUAAAGCAGAAACCAUAAAGGACCUCUGCUUAUUGGGUUGCUCACAGGCUACCUUUAUUAUUUAGCUCAGACCCAACUGCCUGGGGAUAGGACCACCCACAGUGGACUGAACCCUUCUUCAUCAAUUAGCGAUCAGGAAAAUGCUCCCACAGAUGUUCCUGAAGCCCGAACUGGUGGAGACAAUUCUUCAAUUGAAGUUCUUUCCCCCCAGAUGUGUCAAAUUGGCAACCAAGAUUAACCAUGCAAACGUGUGACAAACUGAUUUUCCUUUAUUGCAUAUCCUUUCACUGAAUCAUUCACAUUGAAGGGUCAGAGGACAGUGAGAUCAAGCCAGUGGCUUGUUAGUCAGACUUUGAAACUUGCACCAUCUGUAGGUGCUCCAGGAUUUCCAUGUGAAAAGUUUAUUUGGGGAAGUGCUUAGAUAAACAUUAAAUAACAAUAGCUCAUGGUAGCCAAGUGCAUCCUGAAACACCAGCUGAUCUCUGUGAGGUUUUGAAUCACGUACUGCAAUUAGCUGCUCACAACUCCAGUAAAACCAAGAGAUUCUUAAAGUUACAGCAUUUCUUGGGGGCUCCCCUAUUGAGCCCUUCCUCACCUCACAGCCCACACAAAGCCUGUACCUACCCUAACACCCUCACAUAGCCACUCCUGGAUUCCCAGGUAGAUAUCCACAUUUAUUUUUCUUAACAAAUAAAUGUACUUAAGUAAAAAAGUGUGAAACAGUUUAAUUGAUUAUUUGAGAAUCUCACAGCAUGCAACCCAAUUGUGUUCACUUCCCAUGUGGCCUCCCCCCUCAAAAAAAAAAGUCCAUUUUGUGUUGUCCUAUAUUCACUGGAGCGUGGAGCAUGAUCAAAUUCCUAGUACCCAGCCCACCAAAGGAGGGUGAGUCUUUAUCCAUCAGCUGAGGAGAGCUGUGUGGUUGGUGUCCAAGGGUUUUAGCUCUCCUGCACCCCUACACCCACACCACCACCUGCACCACAGUGCUGAGGGCUGGUGAAGGGUGGGGCCAGCUCUGCUGUGAGGGGCAGGACCAGCUCUCCUGCCGCCCACACACAUUAGCAUGGCUUCAGGUAGCAGCCCUAACCACAGGCAUGGCCUUUGGUGGUAACACUGGCCACAGACAUCAACACGGCUCUUGGCCAUAUCAGGACCACUGUCCCACUCACGGCCCUCAGCGGCUGAUGACCAUGAGCCUCAACACUGCCUUAGGUGGCGACACAUGCCACUUACAUCAGCAUGGCUCCCCAAGGCAGCAAAGCCAAGGCAUGGGGCAGCGACACAGACUGCAAACAUCCACAUGGAUCUCAGGCUUCGUGGCGGUCCAGGCAGCAACAUGGACCUCCGACACCAACAUGCCCUCUGGUGGUAUUGAGGACCAUGGUGGUCCUUUGAGGAGGUCCAAUCCAGGAAGUGAAACUUUCCCAUCUCCGGCCUCCAACAUUGCCCAGAGCCAGGGGAAUCCCGCAGCCAGGUGGCAGGUUCAGGGCUGAGUCUGUGUCUGCAUAAGUUCCCGGCUGUUGUGCACCAUCCCACCAACCCUACCGGACAAUGACAGCAUGUCGACCUCAGCCUUCUCUCUCACCUGUCACCACCAUCAUGUCUCCAGGUCCACCUCUCCCUAGCAAGGGCACCACUCAGUUUUUCUGUCUUUGCUCUUCUCCAUCAAGUAUUUAUUGUAGUGGUGCCUGCCUACCCCAGGCAGCAGGGGCCCCAGGCAGCACUCAGGUGUGUCCAUCCACCUAGGCCACCUUUAAAACAUUUUUAAAGUGGUAACACAAUUAGCAUAAAUUAUAGAAAUGGCAGAAACAUGAGGGGAAUACACUAAUGACAGAAAGUUUAAAAAAAAUUACCUCCCAAAAGGAGCUCUUCUUAAAAUCAUAUGGUCAAUAUUUUAAAGAAACUAAUAGGUAAUUACAAUGCAAACUCUGGUCAAAGUUUUAAGUCCAUGUAUUUAUUUCAUAUUCUCUCUCUCUCUCUCUCUCUCUCUCUCUCUCUCUCUCUCUCUCUCUCUCUCUCUCUCUCUCUCUCUCUCUCCUCUCUCUCUCUCUCUCUCUCUCUCUCUCUCUCUCUCUCUCUCUCUCUCUCACACACACACACACACACACACACACACACACACACACACACACACACACACCUCUCUUUUUAGGAGGACAAAUGCAGACAUAAUGUUUCACCAAGUCCAUCAUAUUGAAGCAUUCCAUAUUGGUGUCCUCUUUUCCAAGCUCUAACUAAAAAUUAAGUGCAUUAUAACUAGGCCGGGGGCGGGGGGAUGUAGCUCAGUUGUCUAGCACACAGUAAGUCUUGGGUUUGAUCCCUGGUACCUCAUAAACCAACCAGACCUGGUGGCACAUGUUUGUCAUCUCAGCACCUGGAAGGUGGAGGCAGGGGGAUUGCAUCCUCCACUAUAUAACGAAGUGAAGGCCAAGUCGGGAGACAUGAGAUUUUGUCAAAUAAAUAAACAAACAAACAAAUGUUCUCCAUUAAAUGUUCUCUUUAACCCCAAGUGGUGACUGUGGGUCUUGGUGUAUUGGUCAUCUCAGGAUGAAAGUCCCUUGUCAAUGAUCUACAAAUCUAUCAAUCACUUGCAACAAGAGUUAAGAUCACCUUAACAUAUGAUAGUACAAUGUCAUUGACUUUGAUUCCUUAUGGGGACAAUAAGCCCAUAUUGAAAGGCCAAUGUGAGUGAAUAACUGUUAAGUACUUAAAUGAAUAUAUGGGUGUAUUAAGAACAGUCAUAGUGUGGCAGGUGACUGAAGGUUGAAACAUCAAGAUUAACAUAUGAUUUGUGUAUUUUAAUUUCAAUUUUAAAAUUAAAAUAUAAUUACACCUUUUCCCCCUCCCUCUCUUCCCUCCAACCCCUCCCAUCACACCUCUUAUCCUGCGUCCUCUCAAAUUCAUGGCUUCUUUUUCUUUAUUGCCACAUAUAUAAACAGAUAAAUAUAUAAAUACAAUUUACUGAGUAUGUUUAGUGUUACUUGAAUGUAUAGGAUUUCAGCACUGACCAUUUGAUAUUAGAUAACCAAUUAGGGGGCUCAUUCCCGAGGAAGACUAAUUCUUCUCUCAUCAGUUGUUAAAUGCCUGAUGAUCUAUAGCUCUUUGUCUAGAGCUGGGAACCAGUGAGAUUUCCCCCUUCCAUGUUAUCAUAUCUAUGGUGUUAUCGUUGUUCAGAUCCUUUAUGCAGACAUAUUGCUGAGGUAUCAUGGGUGUCGUUUCCCUGUCUUUCUAGGAGACAUGAUCUUGCAGCAGACUUUAUAGUAAUUUUUUUUUAAAGAAUCACAUGACAUAAGCCAGGUUGCAGAAGACUGGAAGUCUUUUCUCACCUGGGCUUCAUGUAAUGAAUAGAGCCAGCUCACAAAGAGCCUGCAAAACACGAAAGGGAUGGACAGGCAUUAUGUAAGUGUUCAAUAAAGGACUGCAAGCCUCUUGAUCUGGUGUGUGAGGCUCCUUCCUUGGUUCACUAGCCCACUCCCAUUGGAUGCUUUUCCUUUCAUGAUACACCAUCUGUUUCUAUAUCUAAUCACAUCUCCUCAAUGCAGUCCUUUGUCCUUGGACACCAUAGCCUGGAAUUGGGUGCCCCUGAACUCAGAUCUGGAGCUCAGCACUAAGCAGGUUUUUCCUUCUCCUUUUCUUUGUCUCUGUUUUGGAUACUGGCCUAAAACCUAAGCAUGCUUCCCAGACACCCUUUGUCAAUGUUUUCGUGACUCUGCACCUGACUUAAAAAGCAUAGUUUUGUUUGGUUUCAUCUCCUCUCCUCCUGGCAGCUGCCAGGAUUUGCAGCUUGCCUAUCCUGUUGUUUUUCUCUCAAAAUUGGCUGUGCUUGGGCUUCUUCAAAUCUUUUUUAAAAUUCUUUUAUUAAAGAGACUGAGAAUCCAGAAGGACAUCUCAGUUCCCCAUAACCAAAGGACCAUUGAGCCUUCAGAAGAUGUCUUUAUCUCAGAUAUAUCAUUCUCCAGAGCAGUGAAAAUAGUUAACUCAAGUGCAGAUAGGCCAGCAUGGCCAAUCCAGAUCAGAAAAGUUAGUAAAUGUGUGCAUGUGUGUGUUCUUUUGUGUGAAGGAAAAUAUCGAGGGCAGUAACUCUCAGUGUAACUUUGGUUGCAUGAACAAUGAGUCCAUGAGGUGCUCAUUGCUCAGGAAGGAUGACUGACUGGCCUGUCUUCUUAAGCAAAGAGGUCCAACAUGAAGGAAGUCAGCUGUGUGACCACCUCUCUCUUUUGUUAAAUUUUUUAAAAUUCAUUUUACAUACCAACCACAGAUCCGCCUCUCAUCCCUCCUCCUGCUCCCUCUCAGUCUUCCCUCCAGACCCCCCCAUCCCCUCCUCCAAAGGGGUAAGGCCUCCUAUGGGGAGUCAGCAAAGCCUAGUACAUUUAGUUGAGGCAGGACCAAGCUCCUCCCCACUGCAUCAAGGGUGAGCAAAGCAUCCCACCAUAGGUAGUGGACUCCAGAGAGCCAGUUCAUGCACCAGGGAUAGACCCUGAUCCCACUGCCAGGGGCCCUUCAAACAGACCAAGCUACACAAUUGUCUCCUGUAUGCAGAGGGCUUAGUCCAGUCCCAUGCAGGUUCCACAGUUGUCAGUCUAAAGUUCGUGAGUUCCUAUGAGCUUGGUUUACUGUCUCUGUAUAUUUCUCCAUCAUGAUCUUGACACCACCACCCCCCCCCACUGCUCAUAGAAUCCCUCUUCCCUCUCUUCCACUGGACUCCUGGAGCUGGGCCUGGUGUUUGGCUGUGGAUCUCUGCAUCUGUUUCCAUCAGUUCCUGAAUGAAGGCUCUAUGAUGACAGUUAGGGUAUUCACCAAUCUGCUUACCAGAGUAAGCCAGCUCAGGCACCCUCUCCACUAUUGCUAGUAGUCUAGUCUGGGGUCAUCCUUAUGGGUUCCUGGGAUUUUCCCUAGCACCAGAGUUCUCCCUUACCCCCAUAAUGUCUCCCUCUAUCAAGAUAUCUUUUUCAUUGCUCUUCCACUCUGUCCCUGCCCAACUCAAUCAUCCCAUUCCCUCAUGGUCUCAACCCCUAUCCAUGCCCUCUAUUGCCCCCACCUCAUCCCCAGUUUACUCAUGGAGAUUUCAUCUGUUUCCCCUUCUCAAAGUGAUCCAUGUGUGUGACCACCUCUUUUCGAAAUGCCUUCAUAGACAAGAACGUGAACAAUGGAACUAUCAAUAGACAUACUAACAUGGAAGGAAGAAAGUCUCAUAGGAUCCCACACACAGACAAAGAGCUAUAGGCAACUAGUGAAUGCUGAGAGAGAAUUAGCCUCACCCAGGGAUGAGUCGCCUGCUUGGUUAUCCAAUAGGGGGAGGUCAGCUCUGAAACCAUACAUACACAGCUCUGAAACCAAACAAGAAAAAUAGAUUUAGCAGGCUAUAUUUAUGCAUAUAACGCAACAAUAAUGAUCAAAUAAAAAAGCUAUCAAAUUGAGAGUGAUGAGGGCAUUGGAAGAAGAAAGAGAGGGGGAAGUAAUAUAGUUAUAUUUUUAUUCAUUUUAGUUGAAUAGAAUUAUAUCAAUUUCCUCUCCUCCUCCCUCCAGCCAUUUCAUGCCCCCACUGUCAGGUUGAUAGCCUCUUUUUCUUCGAUUGUUAUUGUUACAGAUGUGUGUAUGUAUGUGCAUACACAACACACACACACACACACACACACACACACACACACACACACAACCUGCAGUCUGUUUUUGUUUGUGUGCAUGUUUGUGUGCAUGUUUGUGUUUUCAAGGCUGACUAUUCUGCAUUGGACAAUCAAUAAUGGGGCUCAUCCCUGAAAUGGGCUAAUUCUCCUUUUCACAGCAGUCAUUAGCUGCCUGUGGUUCUUUGACUAGGAGACGGACCCCAUGAAAUUUUCCCCCUUUCUCCAUUAACUUGUGCAUUGAUAUUACCUCUGUUCCAGUCUUGGUUUUGCAGCCAUUCCUUGGAGACACUACUUCAAGCAGAAUUCUUGCUGUUCGCGCUCUUACAAUCCUUCUGCCCCUCUUCUUCUAUGUUCCCCGAGCCAUAGAUGUAGGAGCUGUGAUGGAGAUGUAUCCAUUGGGGCUGUGCUCCCCACAAUCCAUUGAUAUUUGCCUUAUAUUCAGUUGUGAUUUUUCUGUCACGGUCUCAGCUUGCUGCAGAGAGAAGCUUCUUUGAUGAGGAAUAAUAGCUACACUUAGCUGUGGGUAUAAGGAUAAGAGUUAGAAUUUAGAUAAGGAAUAAUCCCAUCUCUCUCAUCUGCAGUUCCUAGCUCCAAAUCUUCAGAUGUGAGUAUAUGAGUAACCACAGAAACCAGGAAAGUAUAAAGGAACUCCAUGUGUGUGUGUGUGUGUGUGUGUGUGUGUGUGUGUGUGUGUGUGUGUGUGUGUGUAGGGGAGUCAGGGGUUGAGGGGGAAUAACAGAAUAUAGGUGAUAUGAAAGGGGAAAAUCAGAGCGGAGGCUCUAAUUGAGAAGACGAAGAAAGGACAAAUAACACUGAGGUCAUUUGAUAACUGUGGGGGGGCAGCUCCCACAGUUAUUUACCCCAAGUACUCUUGAGGAGUGAGGGAUAAAAGAGUUAGAUAGAAAUAUGGAGGAGAGAGACAGACAGAAAGAAACACAGGAUAGCCUCGGGAGGGCCUGGGUCAAAACCCACCAGCCCCUUCUGUCUCUACUAAAGGGCUUUUAAAAGAAUGCCAAGGGGUGGAGAAAAAGACCUCCCCCCAGCACAGCCAAGUGCAGAAUAAUCCCAAACACCUGGUGACCAUGCGUGUGGUCAAGCCAUCCCCUAAUGCAGCCCUGCUGCGUGAAGCAAGCUCAGAUCUCACCAGAAAACCUUGGUGGGCCUCUACAGAUAAUGCAUCACAGUUUUAAUGGUACUUCCUUGCUUGACUUCUGCUAGACACUAUUUCAUAUUUUGUAAUUAAUUAUGAAAACUUUUUAAAUUUCAGUUCUGUUAAUCUUAGAGAUCUUCCCAGGAAACGUAUUUGUAAAAAGUUUGCCUUUGUUGGUUCUUUCCUUU